UCGACGAACUCUGGUAUUGAUUGGUGCUUGCAUCAUGAUUUACAUUUGAGUGAGUGGCGAACUGGUGAGUAACACGUGGGAAACCUGCCCAGAAGCGGGGGAUAACACCUGGAAACAGAUGCUAAUACCGCAUAACAACUUGGACCGCAUGGUCCGAGCUUGAAAGAUGGCUUCGGCUAUCACUUUUGGAUGGUCCCGCGGCGUAUUAGCUAGAUGGUGGGGUAACGGCUCACCAUGGCAAUGAUACGUAGCCGACCUGAGAGGGUAAUCGGCCACAUUGGGACUGAGACACGGCCCAAACUCCUACGGGAGGCAGCAGUAGGGAAUCUUCCACAAUGGACGAAAGUCUGAUGGAGCAACGCCGCGUGAGUGAAGAAGGGUUUCGGCUCGUAAAACUCUGUUGUUAAAGAAGAACAUAUCUGAGAGUAACUGUUCAGGUAUUGACGGUAUUUAACCAGAAAGCCACGGCUAACUACGUGCCAGCAGCCGCGGUAAUACGUAGGUGGCAAGCGUUGUCCGGAUUUAUUGGGCGUAAAGCGAGCGCAGGCGGUUUUUUAAGUCUGAUGUGAAAGCCUUCGGCUCAACCGAAGAAGUG
This 595-nucleotide ribosomal RNA is filed under the name Lactiplantibacillus plantarum. RNAcentral's name for it is "bacterial SSU rRNA". It matches the Rfam family "Bacterial small subunit ribosomal RNA", at positions 62 to 623 of the family's 1533-position model. The record is from RNAcentral. Lineage: Bacteria; Bacillati; Bacillota; Bacilli; Lactobacillales; Lactobacillaceae.